GCUUGGGUGGCUCAGUUGGUUGGGCGUCUGACUUCGGCUCAGGUCCUGAUCUCACCACUUGUGGGUUCGAGCCCCGCAACAGGCU
Molecule: transfer RNA, 85 nt
Filed under: Felis catus (domestic cat)
Lineage: Eukaryota; Metazoa; Chordata; Mammalia; Carnivora; Felidae
Rfam family: tRNA
About the family: Transfer RNA (tRNA) molecules are approximately 80 nucleotides in length. Their secondary structure includes four short double-helical elements and three loops (D, anti-codon, and T loops).
Source: Rfam by way of RNAcentral